Molecule: ribosomal RNA, 427 nt
Filed under: uncultured bacterium
Lineage: Bacteria
Description: partial 16S ribosomal RNA
Rfam family: Bacterial small subunit ribosomal RNA
Source: RNAcentral
UGGGGAAUAUUGGACAAUGGGCGAAAGCCUGAUCCAGCCAUGCCGCGUGUGUGAAGAAGGUCUUCGGAUUGUAAAGCACUUUAAGUUGGGAGGAAGGGCAUUAACCUAAUACGUUAGUGUUUUGACGUUACCGACAGAAUAAGCACCGGCUAACUCUGUGCCAGCAGCCGCGGUAAUACAGAGGGUGCGAGAGUUAAUCGGAAUUACUGGGCGUAAAGCGCGCGUAGGUGGUUUGUUAAGUUGGAUGUGAAAUCCCCGGGCUCAACCUGGGAACUGCAUUCAAAACUGACUGACUAGAGUAUGGUAGAGGGUGGUGGAAUUUCCUGUGUAGCGGUGAAAUGCGUAGAUAUAGGAAGGAACACCAGUGGCGAAGGCGACCACCUGGACUAAUACUGACACUGAGGUGCGAAAGCGUGGGGAGCAAACA